RNAcentral lists this long non-coding RNA (961 nucleotides) under Junco hyemalis (dark-eyed junco). Its description in RNAcentral is "lncRNA (ENSJHYG00000002228.1)". Lineage: Eukaryota; Metazoa; Chordata; Aves; Passeriformes; Passerellidae. The record is from RNAcentral.
UUCUGUCCGCAGCCCCUGAACGGGUCGCUGACGCUGGAGUUGGUGAACGAGAAGUUCUGGAAGCUCAGCAAACCCCUGGAGCUCUACUACGCCCCCACCAAGGAGCAGAAAUAGCCAAAAACGCCCAAAACGCCCCAAAAUCCAACCUGGGGACACCGAAAUCCAACCUGGGGACACCAACAUUCAAUCUGGGGACACAAAAAUGUCCCAAAAUUCAAUUUGGGGACAUUGAAAUGCCCCAAAAUCCAACCUGGGGGGACACAAAAAUGUCCCAAAAUUCAACUUGGGGGACCCCAAAAUCCAACCUGGGGACACCGAAAUACCCCAAAAUUUAAUUUGGGGACAUUAAAAUAUCCCAAAAUCGAACCUGGGGACCCCGAAAUCCAAUUUGGGGACACCAGAAUACCCCAAAAAUUCAUCCUGGGGAUCCCAAAAUUCAAUCUGGGGACACCAAAAUACCCCAAAAUUUAAUUUGGGAACACUGAAAUACCCGAAAAUCCAACCGGGGGACACCGAAAUCCAACCUGGGGACACCAAAAUACCCCAGAAUUCAAUUUGGGGGCACAAAAAUGUCCCAAAAUCCAAUUUGGGGACACCAAAAUCCAACCUGGGGACACAGAAAUUUCCCAAAAUUAAAUUUGGGAACCCCAAAAUCCCCUCCCAGGGGGGCUCAGAUUUGGGUGGGAAUUUUGGGGAAUUUUUGGGUGAAAUUUUCAGUAAAUUUCAGAAUUUUGGGGGGAAUUUUUGGGUGAAGUGUUCAGUAAAUUUCAGAAAUUUUGGGGUCAAAUUUUCCUUAAAUUUCAGGAAUUUUUGGGUGAAAUUUUCAGUAAAGUUCAGGAAUUUUUGGGUGAAAGUUUCAGUAAAUUUCAGGAAUUUUUGGGUGAAAAUUUCAGUAAAGUUCAGAAAUUUUUGGGGAAUUUUUGGGUGAAAUUUUCAGUAAAUUUGAAGAAUUUUUGGGGGA